AACCUUAUGGACCUGCGGGCGUAUACCUGCGGAGGGAUCAUUACCUAGAGUUGUAGGCUUUGCCUGCUAUCUCUUACCCAUGUCUUUUGAGUACCUUCGUUUCCUCGGCGGGUCCGCCCGCCGAUUGGACAAAUUCAAACCCUUUGCAGUUGCAAUCAGCGUCUGAAAAAACUUAAUAGUUACAACUUUUAACAACGGAUCU
RNAcentral lists this unclassified non-coding RNA (202 nucleotides) under soil metagenome. Its description in RNAcentral is "partial contains 5.8S ribosomal RNA, internal transcribed spacer 2, and large subunit ribosomal RNA". The record is from RNAcentral.